Molecule: long non-coding RNA, 488 nt
Organism: Eptesicus fuscus (big brown bat)
Lineage: Eukaryota; Metazoa; Chordata; Mammalia; Chiroptera; Vespertilionidae
Exons: 4
Source: RefSeq, a predicted model, not a curated record
GAUCACGAGAGGCGGAACUGUUUCAGGGACACCGAGCUGGUGGUGGAACUGGACAUGUUUACAGAAGGGUCUGCUUUAAAAUACAAAGAGAAUGGACUAACCUGCAGAAAUUUGCACUAGCAGCUUUUUCAGGUACUGAAGAGGAAUUUGUUCCAUAUUUUCUUGGAAAUUCAGUGUGUUUGCGGGAAGAGGUGAGCCCAAGAUACUCCUACGUCACCAUCUUGAUCCAGAGCCCCAAGACACUCCAUCUUAAAAGAAGAAUAUAAGGCAGAAAAAUCAAAUUAUAGCUUAUAGAUUAAGAGAGAGCCAGCGAGAAAAGUUCACUGAGGAUUCCUAUGGUUAAUGGCCUUGAGCAUUUGAGGAAGACAUCCAUUAAAAUGUAGCUGAGACCAAAAGCCAACUGGUGAGAAUAAGAAUAAGCAAUGGAUAAUGAAUCAAAGAGAAGGGACUAUUGGCAUUUGAAGGGAUGGGGUGAAAGCAGUACAACA